GAUGAACGCUGGCGGCGUGCCUAAUACAUGCAAGUCGAACGAGGUGCCUUUGUAGCAAUACGAAGGUAUCCUAGUGGCGAACGGGUGAGUAACGCGUUGGUGACCUACCCCAAAGUGUGGGAUAACAGAUCGAAAGAUCUGCUAAUACCGCAUGUGGUCUUCGGAUUUAGAAACUGAUGACUAAAGGAGCAAUUCGCUUUGGGAGGGACCUGCGCCCCAUCAGCUAGUUGGUGAGGUAAUGGCUCACCAAGGCUACGACGGGUAGGGGACCUGAGAGGGUGGCCCCCCCACAAUGGAACUGAAACACGGUCCAUACACCUACGGGUGGCAGCAGUAGGGAAUAUUGCACAAUGGGCGAAAGCCUGAUGCAGCAACGCCGCGUGUGCGAUGAAGGCCUUCGGUCGUAAAGCACUUUUCUGAGGGAUGAGCAAGGACAGUACCUCAGGAAUAAGUCUCGGCUAACUACGUGCCAGCAGCCGCGGUAAU
This 486-nucleotide ribosomal RNA is filed under the name uncultured bacterium. Its description in RNAcentral is "bacterial SSU rRNA". It matches the Rfam family "Bacterial small subunit ribosomal RNA", at positions 28 to 524 of the family's 1533-position model. The record is from RNAcentral.